RNAcentral lists this ribosomal RNA (505 nucleotides) under uncultured bacterium. Its description in RNAcentral is "partial 16S ribosomal RNA". It matches the Rfam family "Bacterial small subunit ribosomal RNA", at positions 28 to 507 of the family's 1533-position model. The record is from RNAcentral.
GACGAACGCUGGCGGUGUGCCUACUACAUGCCUGUAGAACGCACAGGUUAUACCGUCGCUUGCUCCCCCAUAGUCUGUGAGUUGCGUACGGGCGAGUAACGCGUAGGUAACCUGCCUGGUAGCGGGCGAUAACUAUUGGAAACGAUAGCUAUUCCCGCACACUACUCUUUAUCCCAGGUAGUUUACUGGAAGGCAUCACUUGCACUGCUGAAAGGUGGUCCCGCGUUCGAUUACCUAGUAGGCGAGACAACGGCUCACCUAGGCGACGAUACAUAGCCGACCUGAGAGGGUGAUCGGCCACACUGGGACCGAGACACGGCCCAUACGCCGACGGGAGGCAGCAGUAGGGAAUCUUCGGCAAUGGACGAAAGUCUGAGCGAGCAACGCCGCGUGAGUGAAGAAGGGUUUCGGAUCGUAAAGCUCUGUUGUAAGAGAAGAACGAGGGUGAGAGUGGAAAGUUCACACUGUGACGGUAGCUUAGCAGAAAGGGACGGCUAACUACGUG